RNAcentral lists this ribosomal RNA (497 nucleotides) under uncultured bacterium. RNAcentral's name for it is "partial 16S ribosomal RNA". It matches the Rfam family "Bacterial small subunit ribosomal RNA", at positions 28 to 507 of the family's 1533-position model. The record is from RNAcentral.
GAUGAACGCUGGCGGCGUGCCUAAUACAUGCAAGUCGAGCGAACGGACGAGAAGCUUGCUUUUCUGAUGUUAGCGGCGGACGGGUGAGUAACACGUGGAUAACCUACCUAUAAGACUGGGAUAACUUCGGGAAACCGGAGCUAAUACCGGAUAAUAUUUUGAACCGCACGGUUCAAAAGUGAAAGACGGUCUUGCUGUCACUUAUAGAUGGAUCCGCGCUGCAUUAGCUAGUUGGUAAGGUAACGGCUUACCAAGGCAACGAUGCAUAGCCGACCUGAGAGGGUGAUCGGCCACACUGGAACUGAGACACGGUCCAGACUCCUACGGGAGGCAGCAGUAGGGAAUCUUCCGCAAUGGGCGAAAGCCUGACGGAGCAACGCCGCGUGAGUGAUGAAGGUCUUCGGAUCGUAAAACUCUGUUAUUAGGGAAGAACAUAUGUGUAAGUAACUGUGCACAUCUUGACGGUACCUAAUCAGAAAGCCACGGCUAACUACGUG